Molecule: ribosomal RNA, 513 nt
Filed under: uncultured bacterium
Lineage: Bacteria
Description: bacterial SSU rRNA
Rfam family: Bacterial small subunit ribosomal RNA
Source: RNAcentral
AGCGAACGUUAGCGGCGGGCCUAACACAUGCAAGUCGAACGCGAAAGGUCUUCGGACUGAGUAGAGUGGCGCACGGGUGAGUAACACGUAGGUAAUCUACCCUUUGGCGGGGAUAACGUUCCGAAAGGAGCGCUAAUACCGCAUAAGACCACGGAGUCUCCGGACGCUGUGGGAAAAGGUGGCCUCUUCUUGGAAGCUACCACCGAAGGAUGAGCCUGCGUCCCAUCAGCUAGUUGGUAAGGUAAUGGCUUACCAAGGCGAAGACGGGUAGCUGGUUUGAGAGAAUGAUCAGCCACACUGGCACUGGAACACGGGCCAGACUCCUACGGGAGGCAGCAGUGAGGAAUAUUGGGCAAUGGGCGAAAGCCUGACCCAGCCACGCCGCGUGAGUGAUGAAGGCCCUCGGGUCGUAAAGCUCUGUGGAGAGGGACGAAAACCCUGGUUUCAAAUAGGCUCCAGGCUUGACGGUACCUCUUUAGCAAGCACCGGCUAACUCUGUGCCAGCAGCCGCGG